Gymnogyps californianus (California condor) is the source of this 341-nucleotide long non-coding RNA. RefSeq lists it as uncharacterized. The record is from RefSeq and is a predicted model, not a curated record. NCBI's taxonomy places the organism in Eukaryota, Metazoa, Chordata, Aves, Accipitriformes, Cathartidae. The transcript has 3 exons.
CGGCCAGCCGGGCGUGUGGAGGGGAGCGGUCUCGGUGCUGCUGUUUCCGCCGAGCCCCUCAGGCGAGGACAACGAAAAGUCAUUGGGAAGACAUGAGGUGGGAUGGAAAGGCACAGCCUCCGCCGCUGAGAAAUACAGUUGAUGGUUCUUUGCAGGCCCAGACAUCUCUUCAUCAGCUUAUAUUCCAGCGCUCUGGAAAAAGAAUUGCUGUUUCCCAGGAGAAAAUGAAAACCCUUUUAAAUUUGGUGCUGGUAAAGACCCUGAAGACCCCCUGCAUGUAAGAGACAAACGUGUAUGUUGCAAUUGUUAUUAUAGAAAAAUAUUAGAAAAUAAAAAUCAGU